Molecule: ribosomal RNA, 427 nt
Filed under: uncultured bacterium
Lineage: Bacteria
Description: bacterial SSU rRNA
Rfam family: Bacterial small subunit ribosomal RNA
Source: RNAcentral
AACGAACGCUGGCGGCGUGGAUAAGACAUGCAAGUCGAACGAGAGAAUUGCUAGCUUGCUAAUAAUUCUCUAGUGGCGCACGGGUGAGUAACACGUGAGUAACCUGCCCCCAAGAGUGGGAUAGCCCCGGGAAACUGGGAUUAAUACCGCAUAAAAUCGCAAGAUUAAAGCAGCAAUGCGCUUGGGGAUGGGCUCGCGUCCUAUUAGUUAGUUGGUGAGGUAACGGCUCACCAAGGCGAUGACGGGUAGCCGGUCUGAGAGGAUGUCCGGCCACACUGGAACUGAGACACGGUCCAGACACCUACGGGUGGCAGCAGUCGAGAAUCAUUCACAAUGGGGGAAACCCUGAUGGUGCGACGCCGCGUGGGGGAAUGAAGGUCUUCGGAUUGUAAACCCCUGUCAUGUGGGAGCAAAUUAAAAAGAUAGU